This 373-nucleotide ribosomal RNA is filed under the name Tetragoneura ambigua. RNAcentral describes it as "partial 12S ribosomal RNA". Lineage: Eukaryota; Metazoa; Arthropoda; Insecta; Diptera; Mycetophilidae. The record is from RNAcentral.
UGUUAUAAAAAUGUAAAUAAAAUAUAAUAAAGUAGUAUUAGAUUUAUUCUUAAAAUUUAAAAUAUUUGGCGGUAUUUUAUUCUAUUUAGAGGAAUUUGUUUAUUAAUUGAUAAUCCUCAUUAUAUCUUACUUAAUUUAUUAAUUUGUAUAUCGUUGUCAAAAGAAUUUUUUUAAAAAAUUAAUAAUUUUCUAAUUUUAUAAUUAUAAGUUAUGUCAAAUCAAGGUACAGUUUAUAGUUAAGAAUAAAUGAAUUACAAUAAAUUUAUUUAAUUACAGUUUAUAAAUUGUAAUAUUUAUAUUAAGGUGGAUUUAAAAGUAAAAUUAAAAAUUAAAUUAAUUUGAUAUUAGUUUUAAAAUAUGUACAAAUCGCCCG